GGAUACCCACCAGAAAGACUAAUCCAAACCAUAAUGAUGUGCCGGAAAAUAGAACAUUUUUGUUACCCGACCAACCCUCAGGAUAAGCAAAUGCAACGUCUACACUAAUCAGUAAGAUUAAAGAAGUAGCAAUUAAUGCAAAACCAGCCAAUAGGGAAGCAAUAUUCAUGUGCGUAAUCCUCCAAUCUACCAACAAAAGAAUUAUACCAUUUGAUCCCCUUAUCAACCAAAAACUUGUACACCUUAUAUACUUCUUUUGGGCAACCCUCUCAACAACUAAGAGAUCCAUUCGAGGAACACGGGGACUAGUUGAAAUAAUGACAAAUCAUUUCACCUUUUUAGUUGGAACUUUAGGCGGGUCUCGAAAAAAGAUAGCGAAAAAAAUUAUUCCUAGAGUUGAGACUAAAAGGAAUGUAUAAACCAAUGCUUCCAUAGAUUCGAUCGUGGUUUACAAUUAUAGCUUCCAUACCUGUUUAUUUGGGAUCGUCUCCCGGAUAAAUAAAGAACAAGAGUCAAAGAAAAGGCAGUGAUUCAAAUCAAGAUUUAUCUGGUACCCCAUCUAAAAAUCACAAAAAGAAAAUAAAAAUGAAAA
Pyrus x bretschneideri (Chinese white pear) is the source of this 592-nucleotide long non-coding RNA. RefSeq lists it as uncharacterized. Lineage: Eukaryota; Viridiplantae; Streptophyta; Magnoliopsida; Rosales; Rosaceae. The transcript is spliced from 2 exons. The record is from RefSeq and is a predicted model, not a curated record.